AAAAAUUAGUUAGGACUCUUACUUGGAUCUGCAAUUAGUAUUUUAAUCAUAGAUUGUAUUUAGUUUUCAGUACUAACUGCAGAUUCAAGUGAGGGUUCUAACCCUAACCUCU
This 112-nucleotide non-coding RNA is filed under the name Pongo pygmaeus (Bornean orangutan). RNAcentral's name for it is "microRNA ppy-mir-4637 precursor". The stretch from base 16 to 95 matches the Rfam family "mir-4637 microRNA precursor family". RNAcentral also lists the same sequence under 1 other name. Lineage: Eukaryota; Metazoa; Chordata; Mammalia; Primates; Hominidae. The record is from miRBase by way of RNAcentral.